Amphiprion ocellaris (clown anemonefish) is the source of this 887-nucleotide long non-coding RNA. The record is from Ensembl. NCBI's taxonomy places the organism in Eukaryota, Metazoa, Chordata, Actinopteri, Pomacentridae.
GUAAACUCUUAGUGCAAGAGCAGACAGGCUUAUAUCAGUUUGCCUGGGCCUAACCAAACUUUGAAUAAGAUGAACUGAGCAAAAAGUGGCCAAAGAAGAUGUAAAAGAAAACAUUUUUAUGGAAAAACAGAUGCGAUAACGAGAACACGACAGCUGGCAUUGCAUUUACUUGCAUACUUGGGCAAAUAAAGGCAUCUUUGGAAGCACAUAUAGAGAAAGACGGAUGAAGUGAAGCAGCAGGUGACAUGCACUAAAGAUGGAAAGCAGAAUGAAAACAUGACAGCAAGCCAGUAAAGUGGACAGGGAGAGAAAUCAGCAUGGAGGAAAUAAAAUUGUAGGAGGAAGAGAAGGAGGAGGAUGGACUAGCUGGGGUACUUUCAUCCUUCCCCAUGGAGAUUUAUCAUCUUUACAUGGCCAAUUCAAAAAGGAAUCCUUUGACUCUGAAUAUCUUUUAUACUCACUCCCACUCCUUCCGGCGGGCUUGCGGCGUGCUCUGUAUUUUGUGAGCCUGGUGGGCCAUGAUGAUGUCCUUUUGUUCCACGAGCCCCCCGCGCCGUCGCAGCAUGCCGUGGGGGCUCAGAGACCCCGAGCCCUGGUCGGACGAGCCCUCUUCCCGACCACAAGGCACAUCAAAGCUGGCUGCUCGAGGGGGCAACCCCAGGCAUUCAGGGACGGCAUGAGGGACCUGCAGGGAGGAGGAGCGAGCUCCCUGUGCCAGGCCAGGACGGGAGGCAGAGCUGGAUUUCCGCCAGGGCUCAGGUUCAGGGAGAGACAGGGAGGACUGGAUGUGUGUCUCCCCCCGCCGACCACAGCUGGAGGGAGAGUGGAGGUUGGGUGAAAGGGAGAGGGAGAGGGACUGGUCUGAACUGGUGAGCAUCUCUACAGAA